RNAcentral lists this ribosomal RNA (378 nucleotides) under uncultured bacterium. Its description in RNAcentral is "partial 16S ribosomal RNA". It matches the Rfam family "Bacterial small subunit ribosomal RNA", at positions 523 to 898 of the family's 1533-position model. The record is from RNAcentral.
AUACGUAGGGUGCGAGCGCUGUCCGGAAUUACUGGGCGUAAAGAGCUCGUAGGUGGUUUGUCGCGUCGUCUGUGAAAUUCCGGGGCUUAACUCCGGGCGUGCAGGCGAUACGGGCAUAACUUGAGUACUGUAGGGGAGACUGGAAUUCCUGGUGUAGCGGUGAAAUGCGCAGAUAUCAGGAGGAACACCGGUGGCGAAGGCGGGUCUCUGGGCAGUAACUGACGCUGAGGAGCGAAAGCAUGGGUAGCGAACAGGAUUAGAUACCCUGGUAGUCCAUGCCGUAAACGGUGGGCGCUAGGUGUAGGGGUCUUCCACGACUUCUGUGCCGUAGCUAACGCAUUAAGCGCCCCGCCUGGGGAGUACGGCCGCAAGGCUAAA